Molecule: unclassified non-coding RNA, 1148 nt
Filed under: Hevea brasiliensis (rubber tree)
Lineage: Eukaryota; Viridiplantae; Streptophyta; Magnoliopsida; Malpighiales; Euphorbiaceae
Source: RNAcentral
CAAGAAUUUUCUGUACAAUUCUAUUAUCAGAAAGUUCAGCACCAAGUAGCCUUACCUUGUUUGCUAGACUGAUAAGCCUAUCUGAGUACUCUUUGAUAGUCUCAGAUUCCUUCAUUCUUUGUAUCUCAAAUUCUCUCACCAGGUUUAGGACCUUCAUACCUCGAAUCCUCUCAUCUCCUUGAUACUCUUCCUUUAGAAAAUCCCAUAUUGCCUUGGCUGAGCCAAAUGUCAUAAUUCUAGAGAAGAUGGUGGGAGAUACUGCAGCAUAGAGGCUGGCCUUGGCCUUAGACUUCCUGGUCUUCUUCUCCUUGUGAUUUUUUAUCUGAGCCAAAGUAGGAUUGCCUGGUAAACGAGGAAUUUCAUAGUCCUCCUCCACUGCCUCCCAGAGAUCACAUGCAUCCAUGGACUCUUUAGUUCAAGCACCCUUGUAUCAUUGUGUUUAGCCUCAAGUGAAGUUCCUGUGUGGUUCAACUAUCAAAGCUCUGGGUCUUCAUUAGAAGUGCAACUGCCUCCUUAUUGGUUGAGUUAUGAAUGGAUGGCAUUUUCUGUAACUGGAGUUAUUACAUUCCAUCAUGAUCAGCUUUUUUCAGAUACUUGUACUGUUGUCUGUGAGUUGCAUGCCUACAAUUUGCCGAAACAAAGCUUGUAUCUAGGUUGCUCUACGUUGGAAAUCUCUCAAGAUUUAUGCAUUUCUUCUGAUCAACUUUGGGUUAACUUUGUGCCUCGUAGUUCCAUAACUUAUCUAGAUCAGUUGGAAGGAUGGAAUCAAAUCAGGGCAUCAUUUUUUUCUAACCAGUUAAAGGUGAAGAAUUGUGGAUUUCGUCUAAUAUAUAAUAAGGAUCACGAUGUUGAGGAAUUAAUGUCGUGCAACACGCCUUUUGAGAAUUUGGGUCUACCAGGAAUAACCAUUACAGAGGUUUAACCAUGCAAAAGUGCAAGGACACCAUCAUGGGCCUCUAUUGAGAGAAGACAAUUAGGAGACCCAAUUUUAUACUUCUUUUGUUACUUUUUUUUUUCUUUUGGGAUUCAGUUUCUCCUUGCAAAUGUUAUCUUGAUUUGCUGGCUGUUGUGCUCAACAUGUUUUUUACUCUUUUUUUUUGUGUGUUUUUAAAUAUAUAUACAUGGAUUGUGUCGUUGCUCAAAUUGAU